Molecule: ribozyme, 80 nt
Filed under: Crocodylus porosus (Australian saltwater crocodile)
Lineage: Eukaryota; Metazoa; Chordata; Crocodylia; Crocodylidae
Description: Mammalian CPEB3 ribozyme (ENSCPRG00005002664.1)
Rfam family: Mammalian CPEB3 ribozyme
About the family: The mammalian CPEB3 ribozyme is a self cleaving RNA located in the second intron of the CPEB3 gene which belongs to a family of genes regulating messenger RNA polyadenylation. This ribozyme is highly conserved and found only in mammals. There is currently only one other known self cleaving ribozyme in mammals, the CoTC motif.
Source: Rfam by way of RNAcentral
AGAGGUCUCAAGCUUGAGGCCCUAGCAGAAGCAUUCAUGGCACAGCCUUGUCAGAUUCCAACAAAUCUGUGUAUUCUGCU